This 460-nucleotide ribosomal RNA is filed under the name uncultured bacterium. RNAcentral describes it as "partial 16S ribosomal RNA". It matches the Rfam family "Bacterial small subunit ribosomal RNA", at positions 338 to 795 of the family's 1533-position model. The record is from RNAcentral.
CCUACGGGAGGCUGCAGUGAGGAAUAUUGGUCAAUGGGCUUACGCCUGAACCAGCCAAGUCGCGUGAGGGAAGACUGCCCUAUGGGUUGUAAACCUCUUUUGUCAGGGAGCAACGCCGGCUACGUGUAGCCUUACUUAGAGUACCUGUAGAUAAAGCAGCGGCCAACUCCGUGCCAGCAGCCGCGGUAAUACGGAGGAUGCGAGCGUUAUCUGGAUUUAUUGGGUUUAAGGGGUGCUUCGGCGGAAUGCCAAGUCAGCGGUAAAAUCGCGGGGCUCAACCUCGAUCCGCCGUUGAAACUGGCGUUCUUGAGUGGGCGAGAAGUAUGCGGAAUGCGUGGUGUAGCGGUGAAAUGCAUAGAUAUCACGCAGAACUCCGAUUGCGAAGGCAGCAUACCGGCGCCCAACUGACGCUGAGGCACGAAAGCGUGGGUAUCGAACAGGAUUAGAUACCCCUGUAGUC